GCGUAACACGACCUCGGUUUCUUCCGAAGUGCGUACACCGCUUCUGAAGGCACUUUUGUAAAACAUAUUUCAAAACAUAGAUGGCAGCACCAUGCCGAAAAAGGGUAACGGUAUGUUAACCUAAUACCGGUAUGAUAGGAAUUUUAUUGAAACAUAAUUUUUUUUAAUUUUCACAAGUUCAACUAUUGAAACUAAUGAAAACAAUAUUAUUAUAAACUUGAAAAAUAAAAUCAGUAAUUUUUAAAACAAUUCUGCCAUAAACUAAACAUUUUCAUUUUAUUACCAGAAGUACAGUGAAAGGUGCGCUGACUGUUUGACUUGUUUUCAUCGACAAACGUCAGAGUGUUUAGUUUGUUGUGUGUUUUGCAACCGAAGUGUCUACCGCGUAGAUCGCGACCAGAAUCUUCCGGCGAGGCAGCGAAAUCCCGUUCGAAUCAAACAGGAACAGCCAGAAUCGGGCGAGUGUCCUCCGAGGAAAUCGGAUAAGCGCCGUGAAUUGGAGCAAUCUCCUUCUCGUCAGAUCAAAAGGGAUGCUUGGGCAGUCAGAAGCUGGGACCAUCCGGCCAGAACAUGAUCCUUACGUUUGAUGGAAAUCGGGCGAGGGUACGGACGGAAAUGCGAGGACGUCGAGGAGGAGCUGCGGAAAGAGUUUAAGUAGCUGAAGGAGGCCGCCUACGACAUGGCGAAGUCGUUGGCGCGGUAUGCCGAUGACUAAGGCCAAGACGAGCAUAUGAAGCCGCUGGCAUCUAUCAGAAAUACGGUAUGCCCUUAUCCACAUGCUCGGAUCAACCGACAACGUCACCGAAUCGCUGCCGCAACACAACGCUGCAGCUGCUGUUCAAAUUGUGCCUGCACCGUCCUGCUCGCCCAGAUGAAGGCGAAUCGUACCUCGAGCUCAACUGAAAUCAGUGGGGCAAUCUACUCGCGAUGGUCAAGCGUCUGAAAGCCGAAGAUCACCUGGAUGCCUGGAUGCAGGAGAACCAUCGACGAGACGACGCGAUGUGGAAAAUCUCCUUUAGCACGGUUUGCAUGGUGGAGGAGACGAAUCUGAUGAUUGGCACGAUCGAGAGUCGAAGGAACAUUUCACGAACAAGUUCAGAAUUUGAUUUCAACAAGAAACAUCCGCGCCAUCUUGUCCCACUGGCACUGGCUUGACCUGCAGCGAUUCCCUAGCACACCCUGUGGCUACUGGAACCUGGAGCAGAAAACUGUUCAGUACCUGUCCGAUUUCAACGCGAGUUUCCUCAACGUUUGUUUUGAAUAAUCGUGUAGAUUAUUCAAAACAAACGUCGAGGAAAAAUAGUGUAGUUAAAGGAAAAAUAUCAAUCUUGAAACAAAAAAAAGUUCAAAGGUAUUUUUGUAACCGUGCAUUUUUGGACAUUUUUAACCAAAUUAUGUUUGAUUCUCUCGCGCAGUGUAAAUACAGUUUGUUUUGUUUUGUGUCGCUUGCUGUGAUGACAGCUGGUGAAUCAAAGUUUCUUGUUUCGAUAGAUGCAAUCUUUUUCGGCGCUGAUUACAUUUAGUGUUUCAUGCCCACCAUGGCCGCAACGGACGUGGACCAAGAAAAGGACACCGGAUAGGCGGAUUAAGCGGAAAGAAAUCCCCAGCAACAAGGUAACACACAGAAAUCUCAGAUGGAGUUUGAGACGGAAUCGUCCAAGGCAGCGACGGUCAUGACGUUGAGAACGGUGGCCGCUGGACUACCCUGGAAGAAUCCAUCGGUGUGUGUUAUUGAUUGUGGAACGGCCAACGAUUUUUUUCCGGCGCAUCGAGUUCGCUGAAACCGAGUUUAGCGGAGAACAAUUCGUCGUUGCUGGAUCGAUUUGGUUUCCGGAAGAUCCGGCGCCAGCGGGAUGACGGUGGAACGGUGCUGUCGGAAUCUGAGCUGGAAUUGCAACAGGCUGUCUUGUUGGCUAAACGAACAGAAGAUGUACGGAUGACGACCAGGUAAAUUCUUCGCAAUUCAAAAAGAUAUUUUUUUUUUCUAAUUCUAGAAUUCCGUUUCUAACGCAACAACCGGUACGUACACGGAAUCGAUUGCUGCGAUUGAGACGAAAUUCGUAAACGAUCCAAAUUGAAUUCCGUUUAAGAAUUCCGAUUGAUUUGACUGCGAUGGACUUUUUGUUGACACUUUGAGUUGACCCAUUUACAUUGUUAAAAAUAAUGUUUAUUUUGUUCUGUCAAACAGUUCAUCAUGCUCACCCUCAAGUAAAAAUCAACUAGGGGAAAUAUACCCAUUUUAAUCACCUCAAGCCGUUCGACUAAUUCUCAUCACUCACUCACUUUUGAAGUUUUCCGCUAUUAAAUCAACGUUUUUAGAUACAUCAACAAUGGAGAGUUGCUUGCUCACUUUUAUUUGAGCUAUUUGUUACUUUGGAUUGUCUGUGCUUUGGAACAGCCAAAAACAAUUUAUGAAAGCUGGAAUUCAUGAUCAAAGUGUAGAUAGGCCGAUAAUAGAAAUAGGCUGAGAAAGGGUAUAUUUCCCCUAAUAGGUCACGAUGGCUCUUUUGAAACUUGAUACGAGAUUUUAGUUUCUCUGCUUUGCUGAAAAAUUUAACUGUCAAUGUUGAUUAUGAUUAUAAUUAUUAUUAUUGAAAUUUUCUUUAUUUAUUUUCAGAAAACAGCAACAUAAGAUCAACAUAACUCAAGAAUGUACUUUAUUCAACGUAGAGAGGAAUAUCACCAGCCACGUAUUGGACAAAAAAGAUAAGUGAACAUUUUUAUCAUGGUGUAAACUAGAGAUUUGGCGGAUUGUUUUUAUUUACAGGUGUGUCCCUCAGUUACGCUUCGGACCUGAACCUGAUUUUUGAAGCAGCGGUGUUACCGUAGAAGACGGUAUUCAGGCCGGUGUAGCACGACAGCGCAACUUCCCAUCGGCAGAACUCCAAUUUAAGCAAAAUCGGCAGCUGAAGGUUAUGUCAAACCUGGACCCAUUUCACCAGACCGACAACUUUCACAGAAUGGCAGAGAUGGAGCUGUUCGAGGAUUGGCUUCUGCGAUUGCUACUAAAAUUCUGGACGAGGUUUACUGCCACUCGAAGCCAAUCUGUUCCAUAUGUAAUUUUGUCAAAUUUGAGUUAAUGAUAUUAGUCCUAAAUCAUGUGAACUAUCAGAAAACUAAUAAUAUUGAGUACUUCAUUCCAGAAAACUAAGAUAGUCACACUUUUUCGUAAAAUCCUAACACUUAGCCUUAAGGGCGGGACACAUUUGCCUUACGUUUUUCUCAGCUUUUUGUUUUUACAAAUGGGAUGGACUAGAUUCGAGCGGCAGUUUACAACCUAGUUCAACCCUGUGCUGCAUGAGAUGUCUCAUUGAGCUAUGAUGUUAGAAUUAUAUAAAAAAAAAAACACUUUUUCUAAGAUCAUAUUGUAUUUUUUUCCCUUAUGUUGAAUAAGUUACUUCUUUAGGCACUCACGCCCUCUGAAAAAAAAACAGCUACAGCAAAGUUUUAGGAUAAUUUAUGAACCAAUAUAACGUAUCGAAUAAAGAAAUUAUUUGGCCAAAG
Molecule: long non-coding RNA, 3504 nt
Organism: Culex quinquefasciatus (southern house mosquito)
Lineage: Eukaryota; Metazoa; Arthropoda; Insecta; Diptera; Culicidae
Exons: 2
Source: RefSeq, a predicted model, not a curated record